Non-coding RNA from Chiloscyllium plagiosum (whitespotted bambooshark), 117 nucleotides. The record is from RefSeq and is a predicted model, not a curated record. NCBI's taxonomy places the organism in Eukaryota, Metazoa, Chordata, Chondrichthyes, Orectolobiformes, Hemiscylliidae.
ACGCACAUGGCCACUGAAGCGCCCGCGGCAGCAACCGCCGCCGCGAACCAUGACGUCACUUCCGCCCCCACCGACCUCGCAGCCUCCGCGAUCGCCGCCCAGACAACCGCCUCCACG